GCUUAACACAUGCAAGUCGAGGGGCAGCAUGGUCUUAGCUUGCUAAGGCCGAUGGCGACCGGCGCACGGGUGAGUAACACGUAUCCAACCUGCCGUCUACUCUUGGACAGCCUUCUGAAAGGAAGAUUAAUACAAGAUGGCAUCAUGAGUCCGCAUGUUCACAUGAUUAAAGGUAUUCCGGUAGACGAUGGGGAUGCGUUCCAUUAGAUAGUAGGCGGGGUAACGGCCCACCUAGUCUUCGAUGGAUAGGGGUUCUGAGAGGAAGGUCCCCCACAUUGGAACUGAGACACGGUCCAAACUCCUACGGGAGGCAGCAGUGAGGAAUAUUGGUCAAUGGGCGAGAGCCUGAACCAGCCAAGUAGCGUGAAGGAUGACUGCCCUAUGGGUUGUAAACUUCUUUUAUAAAGGAAUAAAGUCGGGUAUGGAUACCCGUUUGCAUGUACUUUAUGAAUAAGGAUCGGCUAACUCCGUGCCAGCAGCCGCGGUAAUACGGAGGAUCCGAGCGUUAUCCGGAUUUAUUGGGUUUAAAGGGAGCGUAGAUGGAUGUUUAAGUCAGUUGUGAAAGUUUGCGGCUCAACCGUAAAAUUGCAGUUGAUACUGGAUAUCUUGAGUGCAGUUGAGGCAGGCGGAAUUCGUGGUGUAGCGGUGAAAUGCUUAGAUAUCACGAAGAACUCCGAUUGCGAAGGCAGCCUGCUAAGCUGCAACUGACAUUGAGGCUCGAAAGUGUGGGUAUCAAACAGGAUUAGAUACCCUGGUAGUCCACACGGUAAACGAUGAAUACUCGCUGUUUGCGAUAUACAGCAAGCGGCCAAGCGAAAGCGUUAAGUAUUCCACCUGGGGAGUACGCCGGCAACGGUGAAACUCAAAGGAAUUGACGGGGGCCCGCACAAGCGGAGGAACAUGUGGUUUAAUUCGAUGAUACGCGAGGAACCUUACCCGGGCUUAAAUUGCAGAUGAAUUACGGUGAAAGCCGUAAGCCGCAAGGCAUCUGUGAAGGUGCUGCAUGGUUGUCGUCAGCUCGUGCCGUGAGGUGUCGGCUUAAGUGCCAUAACGAGCGCAACCCUUGUUGUCAGUUACUAACAGGUUCCGCUGAGGACUCUGACAAGACUGCCAUCGUAAGAUGUGAGGAAGGUGGGGAUGACGUCAAAUCAGCACGGCCCUUACGUCCGGGGCUACACGCGUGUUACAAUGGGGGGGUACAGAGGGCCGCUACCACGCGAGUGGAUGCCAAUCCCAAAAACCUCUCUCAGUUCGGACUGGAGUCUGCAACCCGACUCCACGAAGCUGGAUUCGCUAGUAAUCGCGCAUCAGCCACGGCGCGGUGAAUACGUUCCCGGGCCUUGUACACACCGCCCGUCAAGCCAUGGGAGCCGGGGGUACCUGAAGUGCGUAACCGCGAGGAGCGCCCUAGGGUAAAACUGGUGACUGGGGCUAAGUC
RNAcentral lists this ribosomal RNA (1438 nucleotides) under uncultured organism. RNAcentral's name for it is "16S ribosomal RNA". It matches the Rfam family "Bacterial small subunit ribosomal RNA". The record is from RNAcentral.